AUUGAACGCUGGCGGCAGGCCUAACACAUGCAAGUCGAGCGGAUGAAGGGAGCUUGCUCCUGGAUUCAGCGGCGGACGGGUGAGUAAUGCCUAGGAAUCUGCCUGGUAGUGGGGGAUAACGUCCGGAAACGGGCGCUAAUACCGCAUACGUCCUGAGGGAGAAAGUGGGGGAUCUUCGGACCUCACGCUAUCAGAUGAGCCUAGGUCGGAUUAGCUAGUUGGUGGGGUAAAGGCCUACCAAGGCGACGAUCCGUAACUGGUCUGAGAGGAUAAUCAGUCACCCUGGAACGGAGACACGGUCCAGACUCCUACGGGAGGCAACAGUGGGGAAUUUUGGACAAAGGGCGAAGGCCUGAACCAGCCAUGCCGCGUGUGGGAGGAAGGUCUUCGGAUUGUAAAGCACUUUAAGUUGGGAGGAAGGGCAGUAAGUUAAUACCUUCCUGUUUUGACGUUACCAACAGAAUAAGCACCGGCUAACUUCGUC
Molecule: ribosomal RNA, 484 nt
Filed under: uncultured bacterium
Lineage: Bacteria
Description: partial 16S ribosomal RNA
Rfam family: Bacterial small subunit ribosomal RNA
Source: RNAcentral